GACGGAGGAUGCAAGCGUUAUCCGGAAUGAUUGGGCGUAAAGCGUCCGCAGGUGGCAGUUCAAGUCUGCUGUCAAAGACCGGGGCUUAACUUCGGAAAGGCAGUGGAAACUGAACAGCUAGAGUAUGGUAGGGGCAGAGGGAAUUCCUGGUGUAGCGGUGGAAUGCGCAGAUAUCAGGAGGAAUACCCAUAGCGAAGGCAGCUCGCUGGGACGGUACUGACGCUAAGGCGCGAAAGCGUGGGGAGCGAACAGG
Molecule: ribosomal RNA, 253 nt
Filed under: uncultured bacterium
Lineage: Bacteria
Description: partial 16S ribosomal RNA
Rfam family: Bacterial small subunit ribosomal RNA
Source: RNAcentral